CCUACGGGAGGCAGCAGUGAGGAAUAUUGGUCAAUGGGCGGAAGCCUGAACCAGCCAAGUCGCGUGAGGGAAUAAGGCCCUACGGGUCGUAAACCUCUUUUGCCGGGGAGCAAGGGCGGGGACGUGUCCCGGCCCGGAGAGUACCCGGAGAAAAAGCAUCGGCUAACUCCGUGCCAGCAGCCGCGGUAAUACGGAGGAUGCGAGCGUUAUCCGGAUUUAUUGGGUUUAAAGGGUGCGUAGGCGGAUCGUUAAGUCAGUGGUCAAAUUGAGGGGCUCAACCCCUUCCCGCCAUUGAAACUGGCGUUCUUGAGUGGAAGAGAAGUAUGCGGAAUGCGUGGUGUAGCGGUGAAAUGCAUAGAUAUCACGCAGAACCCCGAUUGCGAAGGCAGCAUGCCGGCUUCCGACUGACGCUGAAGCACGAAAGCGUGGGGAUCGAACAGGAUUAGAUACCCUUGUAGUC
RNAcentral lists this ribosomal RNA (460 nucleotides) under uncultured bacterium. Its description in RNAcentral is "partial 16S ribosomal RNA". It matches the Rfam family "Bacterial small subunit ribosomal RNA", at positions 338 to 795 of the family's 1533-position model. The record is from RNAcentral.